Molecule: ribosomal RNA, 414 nt
Filed under: uncultured bacterium
Lineage: Bacteria
Description: bacterial SSU rRNA
Rfam family: Bacterial small subunit ribosomal RNA
Source: RNAcentral
AACGAACGCUGGCGGCGUGCCUAACACAUGCAAGUCGUGCGAGAAAGUUCCUUCGGGAGCGAGUAAAGCGGCGCACGGGUGAGUAACACGUAGGUAACCUGCCCCCCAGUCUGGAACAACUAGAGGAAACUCUAGCUAAUGCCGGAUGAGACCACGAUCCCUUCGGGGGUUGCGGCCAAAGAUGGCCUCUACUUGUAAGCUAUCGCUGAGGGAUGGGCCUGCGGGCCAUUAGCUUGUUGGUGAGGUAACGGCUCACCAAGGCUGUGAUGGCUAGCUGGUCUGAGAGGAUGACCAGCCACACUGGGACUGAGACACGGCCCAGACUCCUACGGGAGGCAGCAGUGGGGAAUAUUGCGCAAUGGGCGAAAGCCUGACGCAGCGACGCCGCGUGGGUGAUGAAGGCCUCGGUCGUAA